Molecule: transfer RNA, 530 nt
Filed under: uncultured Bartonella sp.
Lineage: Bacteria; Pseudomonadati; Pseudomonadota; Alphaproteobacteria; Hyphomicrobiales; Bartonellaceae
Description: partial 16S-23S ribosomal RNA intergenic spacer
Rfam family: tRNA (bases 199-272)
Source: RNAcentral
UGAUGAUCCCAAGCCUUCUGGCGAUCUCUUAAAAUAAAGCCUAGCCUGCUUUACAAAAAAAACGGGCGUUUAGAUACUCUUUAAAUUCUUAUGAACCUUAAAGAGUAUCCAUUUAAAAAAGGCUUUAUGAAGAAAGCACUUUAAGCUUUUCCAGUGAUUUAAGAUGAUACCGGGGAAGGUUUUCCGGUUUAUCCCGGAGGGCUUGUAGCUCAGUUGGUUAGAGCGCGCGCUUGAUAAGCGUGAGGUCGGAGGUUCAAGUCCUCCCAGGCCCACCAGUUUAUGCUCGUUUUUUGCUUAUUCUUGAGCGUUAUGAAGCUUAAGCUUAUCAAAGCCUCUUUAAUCUUUGUUCAUCGUUUAAAGAUUUUAUUUUAUCCUUCAAAAAUUGUUUGUUAAAUUUAUCAAACAGUGCCUUUGUCAAAAAAGGAUUUUAAGUUCCCUUCAAGAGGAUAGACAAAUUUAAAGGAUAAAAAUGAUAAAAAUCAAUACAAGUAGAAAUAAUAUUGAUCGAAAAAAUAGUAUUGAUUAAAAGA